RNAcentral lists this long non-coding RNA (293 nucleotides) under Elaeis guineensis (African oil palm). Its description in RNAcentral is "long non-coding RNA (EGUI_LNC006726)". The record is from RNAcentral. Lineage: Eukaryota; Viridiplantae; Streptophyta; Magnoliopsida; Arecales; Arecaceae.
UCUUGCUUUUUGAUUUUUAUUUUUUAAAAAUUAAAAAUAAAAAAAUAUUUUUUUAAUGGCUAACCAAACGCACCCUUAUUUGGUGAGACCUUAAAUUUAUAACAUUUAUGACCGCUUAAAUUUCAGACGGGUAAAGGACACUGGAGUCCAGCUUCGGUUGCCAGACAUUACCUCAAAGCUUAAGUAAACCCAAAAGCAAAUCUCUUCAAGAUUCAUUCUAACUCACAGAAUCUAGGGGAAUAGAUACGCCCCUGUACUGAAUCGCUGGUAACGGCGGUGAAGACCGGCAGGAC